Molecule: long non-coding RNA, 1170 nt
Filed under: Parus major (Great Tit)
Lineage: Eukaryota; Metazoa; Chordata; Aves; Passeriformes; Paridae
Description: lncRNA (ENSPMJG00000004043.1)
Source: RNAcentral
AUGAUGGACAUGGAACAGCCCAGAGAGUUGAGCACCGGCCCCGUGUUGAGCCUCAAGCCCAAGGAGCCUUCAGUGGGAGAUCAUGGAUCUGUAACGCUUGCGGUUACCCUGACCCUGAGCACUGAGGGUGAUGUCAGCAGCCUGGACAAUUCCAGAACAAAUUCAUAUCCCCCUCAGCAUCUCUUGGGGCACAAAGGCAAAACAGGCAUUGAUGACCUGACGGCCAAGCUCAAGAAGAAGCUGCACAAGUCUAAAAGCACCGAGAGUGUGAAAAGCAUUGUCCCACACCAGCCCCAGCCUACCAGGCUGAAGGAUACGCUGGAAAAGACAUCCUCAAACUGGGAUCAAGAGGAGAUGGAGUCACAUUUGAACAGGCAAGCACUGAACCCCUGGGAUGUAGCUGGUGGGUUAAACCCUUCUGGCCACCUCAGAGAUGAGGAGGAAGUUCCAGCUGCCAGGAAGAACUAUGUCAGGACACACAAGUGGCUCAAGAAUGAGGACAGCAACUAUUGGAUUGGACCUAAUCAACUUUUCUACCAUGGUUGGAGACCUGUGGAAUUGAAGCGAAAGCCCAGAGCUGACCAGAUUCUAAACAGGAACCUGGAUUUUCUCUCUGACCCAUUGGCUCAGAUCCGCCCCGUUGCGAGCAGCAGGGGAGAGGCUGCGGCUGAAAGGGAGCAUUCCUCUCUAGGUGGGCACCGCCAGAUCAUGCCUGCCACCACAGAGGAGGAAGGGUCUGUGUUCCUCAAUAAACCUCUGAGUACCCAAAUUCCACACCUUGCACCGGUUCCAAAAGAACUCUUGGAUACCACGGUCCAUCAUCACCUGCGCUUGCUGGAGCCAGACAAAGACAAAGGCCUGCGGUCGUUCAUGGCCCACGUGAAGCGAGCCCUGAGGAUGGACUGCAGCCUGCCCCAGCUCAAGCAGGCCUGUGCCAAGAUGGUCUCAAAGUUCAGGAUACUUCUAAAGGACCUCAGCAAGAGACAAGAGAACCAGGGAGCCUCUGAUCCCAUGGACCAGUGUCCCCUGCGAGAGAACACGAUCAUUCACAUGGCCUUAGGGGAGGGCAAGAAACUCGCAAGGAAGGUAGGAGAGCUGCUGGGCACUGCUGCAUGUGUGUGUCCUCCUGGGCAAAGGAGAAUGGAAAGAUCAAUCCUCUGGCUCCCGUGA